RNAcentral lists this long non-coding RNA (372 nucleotides) under Hordeum vulgare. RNAcentral's name for it is "long non-coding RNA (HVUL_LNC001126)". Lineage: Eukaryota; Viridiplantae; Streptophyta; Magnoliopsida; Poales; Poaceae. The record is from RNAcentral.
ACUAUGUCUGCAUGAGCUUAGUUAAAAAACAUAAUUACUAAUACUACUCGAUAAUUCAACACAAAUUCUAGUACUGGAUAGUUCUACUACUGGAUAGUUCAAUACAAAUUCAACCAUUACAUACUUAAAAUUCAUCAUAGAUCUCCUUCAACUUCUUCACCAUGUCCUUAUAGCCAUGGUUCUAUUUCAUCAUAUCAGAAAUGAUGUGCUCCAGCUUUUUCUUCUCUUCCUUCAUUUGGUCUCUCUCUAGCACAAGUUGGUCCCUCUCCUUCUCUGCCUUCGCCCUGAGUACCUGAUGUAGAUUGGUAGAAGAAUGGUUUGCCAACUUCUUCUCAAUCUCCUCUUUCAAAUCACUAAUAGCCAACCUAGCAC